AUCUGGUGGCUUUCUUUUGAAGUUUCAAAAUUCUCUGAAUGUAUACGUCUGCUGCUCCUCACAAUGUUGGUAUACAGUAUAGGAUGAAUGGGAAGUGCUAAAAAUGGCAAGAAAACAUGUACACAGAGAUGAUGCAUACCGAUAUGAGAAUCAUUCUUCAGAAAACUUCGAAGAAACUAUGAAGACAGCCAGGAAAUGAAGAAUGAUACUGUGAAAGGCCAGAAAACAUUUUAAUAUUCCACUAAGAGAUCUCAGCCACACAGCAAGAAAUAAAUUUUCUCACUCUACUGGACAGCUGUAGAAAUGGAGACCUCCAGCCAGAGGACAUUCCACACCUUUGGAGUGUCUCAUAGACUGCAGAAGAAGAAAUGUGGUGCCAGAAGACAUGACAAACAAAGAAAACUUUGGCUUCAGCAAGAUAGAGAAGCUCAGCAUAACUGCAGACAAAACCAAUUAAAUGUUCAAUCCCCACAGUUAGUGCAACUUUGUGACCAACAUACCUACUUCGUCGCCACCAAACAUUAGUGCAAGACAAAAGCUACAUAAAAUUCCAAAAACAUAUUGUUCUGCCUGUCCUUUUGCUAAAGACAAUGAAGUCAAACACACGGUGUUGAUGAUAUGGACCAAAUCAGUGUACAUUGGUCUGAAAGGUUCUUUGCAAGGGAGUUCAGUGGCAAUUCAGCUACCGUUGGCACAAGGGAAAGGUUAACUUAGAGUCCAUUAAUGUUUGUGAAGAGCUUAAAAACCUCAUAGAGAUGAAUAAUGACUAUUCUAAGAACCAUCCAGAAAUAUUAGACAAUUUACCAGUGAUCUGCAUUUGCUUCACUUCUGUUUAGUUUCAUUUAUAUUCCUGGCAGAGACCUAUAUUGUAUUAAAAUACAUGGACAAGUCUAUCAUAUGGAAGGAAGUUUGCAGCCUUAUGUAGGAGUUGCUCAACUUACACCAGUCUCUUCAUUACAGAUUUUAAUAUUCCAU
Molecule: long non-coding RNA, 975 nt
Organism: Schistocerca cancellata (South American locust)
Lineage: Eukaryota; Metazoa; Arthropoda; Insecta; Orthoptera; Acrididae
Exons: 3
Source: RefSeq, a predicted model, not a curated record